Molecule: transfer RNA, 74 nt
Filed under: uncultured archaeon
Lineage: Archaea
Description: tRNA-Val(gac)
Rfam family: tRNA
About the family: Transfer RNA (tRNA) molecules are approximately 80 nucleotides in length. Their secondary structure includes four short double-helical elements and three loops (D, anti-codon, and T loops).
Source: RNAcentral
GGGCCCGUAGUCGAAUGGUUAAGACGUCCGCCUGACACGCGGGAGACUCCCGGUUCGAUCCCGGGCGGGCCCAC